AAACCCGAGCAGCCAUAGGACAGGCUCUUCAAAACCCCUGUUCUUCAAGGCAUUUCAGGCUUUCAGCCCCCCUAGUCAAAUCCAAACAUGGGGAAGGGGCUUCUAAUCGAUUUGGCUUGGGAGGGGCAGGGCCCUUUGAUCGGCAGUUCCACCAAACAAAACCAAGAAGCUGUCCCAGAAGAGAGAAUGGAGGCAGAACAGGUGACCAGCAUCAUCUUAUUUUACAUCCUGUUAGCGCUUGCCUUCAAGGAGCCUCACCCAGUGGGAGAGGCAGACCUGCAGGUGUAAAAUUGCACUAGUGGAUGAAAAGUGAAACUAACACUCAGCAUGGGGGCAGUCAGACUUGUGCUUAGUGGCGCUUCAAUAAGAUUUUUAAGAGGGAAAGUCUCUGAGCACCUGCUCUGGACGGGACGCAGCCUGGGCUAGGCUGGGCUGUCCUCAGGUCCCCAGGAUUCCCACUGCCAUUCGGAAGGCUGGCUCUUGUUGGAGUCCUCCGCAUCUCUGCUCAAGCUCACAGGAAACUGGGCCCUGGAGGGAGAACAGCACACAGAGACGGCUAGGAGAUCCUGCAGUUCUGCACAGCACCCCAGGACUUGGAGCUGGCGCCCACGGAGGGAGUCCUGGGAAGCUGCUGCCCAAUGUAGUUGGUGGCUGCUCUGCUUCCAGUUGUGGGACAUACUUCAGAACUCACCUCCGAAUUUCCACCCCUCAUACUAGGGCCCAGGGAAAACACACACAGGAAGAUGGGUGGAUUGAGGACCAGCUGGAUGGACAGACAUGUUUUAAUUAACAAAGCCCGUUGGUGUUCAUUAUUUUGUUCACUCUCAUUGGGACUUCUGUUUCCCUACUUCACUAACAUACAAACUGAGGCUCAGAGAGGUUUAUUCAAGGUCAAUCCCAUUAUCAGACGGGGAGCAUUAUACUAUAGUUAUACAUAGUCACACACACAUACGCACUAAGGGCCAGAGCCCAGUCUAUAUCUUACGUGAUCCUCUCCCCAGCCCAAUGAGAUGGACGCUGUUGCCCUUACUUCACCAGAGAAUUAGGUAAGCGGCUCAAGGUCACACAGCUAGUGAUUGACAGGCCCAGGAUUCCACUCAAUUUAUGUGGGAGGCUUCCUCCCAUACAGAUAGCAUACCCCAUUUAGACAACAAUACAAAUAAUCUGUAUGAAAAGUCUGUUCUGUUCUGUUCUUGUGCUAACUCCUUAGUCUGUAAGACUCUGAAAAACAAAGCAUUUCACAGACACCCAACACAAGCAAUGAAAACAUCUCCCCUUGUCUUUUCAGUGACGUGCCCCUAAGAGGAAAACUGAGAUGCCAACAAAGAUUGGACCCAAGCUCAGAAUCUAUAUGAAAGAAUAAGUGCUUAAAAAAAAAGGCUUUGUAAUCAGAAUACGAAAUUAUAUGUUCAGUGUGAUUACCACUGAGUAUAAAAUGUGCACACGUAUAGACAAAGACUGCAAGAGAAACGCAAACAUUAAAUCAGUUCUAUGGCAAACGGAUGGCUUAUUUUUCUUUCUUAAAAAUGCAAUGUUCUUAUCAUAUUUGUGCGAUAACAAAAAGACUUUGAUAUUGUGUGUAGAGAUUCAUAAUAU
Long non-coding RNA from Equus asinus (donkey), 1596 nucleotides. NCBI's taxonomy places the organism in Eukaryota, Metazoa, Chordata, Mammalia, Perissodactyla, Equidae. The record is from Ensembl.